AGAAAGACAAUAAUAGUUCUUCUGGGUCUUUCAAUGGCAACAGCACCAAUAAUAGCAUCAAAUAAUUGAAUCUACCCAGGCUCUGUUCCUUCCGAUUGGAGCAUCUGUCUCUCUUUUAUUGUUGUUUUGCUUCUUUGACUGAGCUCAAGUAGUUUUCACAAUAUGUACAGCAGUUCUUACAAUGAUAACUUUUGCUUUUCUUCUUCUCCUGAUGUGCGAGUAUUUAACUAGACUCUAUUCACCUCAGAACAAGAUUUCCCUGGGUUCCCCUGGAUGUUUCACUGCUGCUGAGUUGUUGUUAUUAUCUCUGUCUGUCGUGCUCAUACUCACCUGGGUUCUCACUGGCCAUUGACUUCUCAUGGAUGCAAUGGCUGUGGGUCUCCGUCUCACUGUAAUUUUCUUUGUCUGCCUGUUGGGCUUCAAAGUCCCCUGCCUGCUUCUCUCAGGGCUUUUAAUCUAUGAUGUCUUUUAGGUAGUUUUCUCAGCCUACAUCUUUAAUAGCAGUGUCAUGGUGAAUGUGGCCAUGGCAGCUGGCCGAAAAUCCCCUUUACGUUCUAUCUCAGAAGCUCAGCCUGGGGCCUGGUGUUGGGCGUGAUGUUCCUCGCCUGUCUCUGCCUGGAAAACUGGUCUUCCCACGUUCUACUGGGAGCCACUUCCUCAUGUUGGGCAUUGGAGACAUUGUUAUGCCUGGUCAUCUGCUAUGCUUUGACCUUCACUAUGACAAUUACAAAAUCAAGCCCGUGGGGACUCCUGUGGUGGCCCUGGACCUGCCAACAUCUCUGGGCGCAUGCAGAAGGUCUUCUACUUUCACUGCACGCUCAUGGGAUACUUUGUAGAUCUGCUCACGGCUACUGUGGCCUCUCACAUUCACCAGGCCGCCCAGCCUGCCCUUCUCUGUUUGGUGCCAUUUACCUUAUUGCCACUCCUCAUGAUGGCCUAUUUAAAGGGUGACCUCCGGUGGAUGUGGUCUAAGCUAUUCCACUCCAAGACCAGUAGCUCCCAAUUCCUGGAAGUAUGA
RNAcentral lists this long non-coding RNA (1018 nucleotides) under Homo sapiens (human). RNAcentral describes it as "non-protein coding lnc-SOCS6-12:1". The record is from RNAcentral. Lineage: Eukaryota; Metazoa; Chordata; Mammalia; Primates; Hominidae.